UGUUGCCAUUGUAACUUGUUUUUGUAAGAUCCUCUUGAGCAAAAAUCCAUUUUAAAGUUAUUUUGCUGUUCUUACUACAGUACUGAAAGUCAUUUUAUUUUGAGAUGUUCUGAUAAAAAGUGUGCUUUUCUUCCUCACCUCACUAAAAUUUUUUUUCUCAAAUGCUCCUACCUUUUAAAAACAAGAUUCACUUUCUUAGAAAAGAAGCCAUAGCACGAUUUCAUUGUUUUGUUCCUCAUUUUCAGUGGUUCCUUACUACUUACUUUAUACUGACAUUCAAGUUCUACCACAAUCUGUCCCUAACCUACCUUUUUUAGCUUUAUCUCCAACUAAACUUUUAAAGAAUACUACAGCCAAUCUGUAAUUUCUCUUAACGUGCAUUAUGCUUCCCCACCCCCAUAACUUUCCCAACUCUUUCUCCCACCAAGGAAGAUUGAUCUGGCAUGUCAUGGUUUACCUUUUCAUGUUAAAAGAGAAAUGACAGCAGUACCAUGACACCCUUCUCCCCACCCCCCUUUGUUUUUCUCAAAGCUGAGCCUAUUCCACAAGAAAAUUACAUUUUUGGCGUUGCUAGUCAUUUCUGGAUCUUUCUUUGCCUAAGGCCAGAAACCGGGAGUAGUUUUAUUAUCAUUAACAUACCUGCAAUUCUUGUUCCCUAAAAGGAAGCCAUGUAUUAAUAUGGUUUGGAUCUGAGAUCCUUACUCAGGUAAAACUCCCACUGCUUUGGCUGAAGUCACUGGGACUUUUGCCAAAGUUAGACUGCUGCAUCCCAGCCCAAGUGAACUCCAGGUGGUCUUCCAAGAACUUUGUUGUCCACUCUUUGCAGUGACACCCUGGGAAGUCUGUUUAACCUCCCUGGAAAAAUCUAUUAGUUUUUGUUGGGUUUCGAAUUGAGUUUGCAUAAAACACAAAUGACUAUCUCAUAUCUUACGAUUUAAUAUGUGUGGGUCUCUUGCAGUGUUUGGACAAAAAUGUUGCUGUCACAGGGAAUUCUUGUAAACAGAAAAAUAAAUUGAGAUAAAGAUUAUAAUUAAAGGGUAGGAGAAAAAGCUCCAUUAUUCUACUGUUUGAGACCUGAGUUCAUUGGUAUAGAAAAUUUCCAGUGGGGAAAGGUUAUUUAGUCCUAAAGGCGGAUCUGCAACUGCUCCGCAAUUUUGUUAGUUAUCUGGGACCUUGAAAGGUUAAUUAAUUUGCACAAUAGCAUCAAACUGCCAGAAUUUCAGUGACGAAACUUUAAAGAACAUAUGUAUUAAAAGCAGAUCAGAAACAAAUCCAUUUUGGAUCACCUUUUCAGUUUCUCCAACACUGUGUCCCCCUCCCCGGCAUCAGUUAAGACCGGGGCACUACAAAGUGCCCCUUGCGGAUCCCCAGCGGUCACUUGCUUGGCCAGAGGCAGGCCUCAUCGCCCCGCCAGCCGCAGAGAACCUAGGCUCAAAGACAGGGAGGGCCGCCUGGCCCAGAAGCGCCAGAGUCGGGGGCUCGAAGCAGGAUGGGGCGGGGCGAGAAAGACGAGCGGGGCAGUGCCGGAAGGGCUGGGACGUUGGAAGAGUGGGUGGGGCCUGCGGGUGGCUAGCCAAGACCUUCAGAAAAUUUCCACUCCCGGUGGCGGUCCCAGCUGCAGGCCCUCCCUUUCCCUCCUUUUUCCGCACGUUCAUGUGACCCGUGACUCAGUGGGCACCGCCUUAUUGCGUCUGGCGGCGGGCUAAGGGAGGGGAAGCGAGUGUGCGCAGAGCCAGCGCUUGAAACGGGUGGCAGGUUGGGGCGGUUUGCCGCAGCUGCCGCACGCCGCGGACUGCUCCGUAGCGCCUGCUCUUGGAGAGGCUGCUGUUGCCAUGCGCGCCCGCACCCGCCGGAAGAGAGCGCGUGACGGGAAGCCCUAGCGGGCCCUGCAAGGUCAGGAGGAGACUGUUCCUGGCGAGGGUAUUAAGGCCUCGUAGCCUGAGAUGCCAGUUCAGGACGGAGGCCGUUGAGCCAGAGGACCUCGGAAGCGGCCUAGCAGGGAGGUCGUGCUGUGGUCAGGGUCUGUGUUCGGCCCGGCUUCCCAAGGGUGGAGCUUUGGCAAGACUUCUGCUGCACUGGGGGCGGCCCGACAUUCUCCUCGGAGUGAUUCCUUGUGGAGUUCUGAGGGAAUAAGGAAGAGCUCCUUGACAGGAUGGAAAAAAAUUCAAGAAGUCUUUUCAAGACUUGAAAAGUGUGGGGGUCUGAUGGCUGAGUAGAAGAUUGAAGGACCUUCCACCAUCAAGGGACGCAAAGAACAGCUGUGCUGACCAGACAUGUCCAGGGCUGGGCUGAUGCAGCACGGGAGAAGGAGCUUGCACACAUCUGGAAAUUUGAGCAUUCCCUGUUCACUUGAGAGCAGUGGUGAUUGAAAGGAAUUUGCAAGAAUGCCACCCUGGGGAGGAGACACAAGACCUCUGACUGACAGAGAGGAAGCUUUGUCCUGUGUACCAGUAUUAGGCAUAUUUACUGGAAGCUUUAAGAAUCAAAUUGGUGAUUUGUCCCUAGGAGGGUUGAUUUUUGUAUUGUCAAAGAGAUAAUUGUAUAUUGUCAAUUAGUGAAGAAAGAUUGCAAACGAUGAUGAAUGUAAAUAUGAUUUAUUGCUUCCACUACACUAGUCAGUAAACAUAAUGGUAAAUCUAAUUCAAUCCAAUAACCAUUUAUCAAGUGCCUACUAUGUGCUAGACAGUGUGCUAAGAACUGGGGAUACAAUUAAUAAAAAGAAAAGUAGUCCUUGCCCUAAAGGAGCUUGUAAUCUAAAGGGGCAGACAACAGACAAAAGAAUGGAUAAAGGGAAGGGGGACACAACACCAAGGGGAUAUAUGGCAUGGGGGGGCAUCUCAUUCCAGUUCGAACCAGGCAGAACAGCAGCUGUAAAGUGGAAUGAUCUUAGAGUCCAGUUUCUGCAUUAGGAGGAGUCUGGUGUACCACACUCCAGCAGGUGGUAUCAACCAAGACUUGGGUUAGAAGCAUAGUGCUGAGUUCAGAAGUGUUGAGGAGGGGCAUCUUGUCCUGUACAGCUGAAACCAGGCAGAGCCUGGUAAAUCCUUUCCCUAUGCAGUAUACCUGCGUAAUGUAAAUAUGGAUAGCUUGCAUGUGAUAUGAAUAGAUACCUGAUCUGGGAUCUGGUCUAUCUUUUCUCCAAAGGAUAUUGAAAUUUCCACCUUUGUGGAAAAUAGGAGGGCCGUGUCAGCAAUGUCAGUAAUUUAUUGGGGAAGGGCCAGGCAAGAUUAAAGAUGAAUAUUACUGAGUUCUUUCAUUUUCUCAUUUAAAAAAUAGUAUACACACACACACACACACACA
Molecule: non-coding RNA, 3300 nt
Organism: Phascolarctos cinereus (koala)
Lineage: Eukaryota; Metazoa; Chordata; Mammalia; Diprotodontia; Phascolarctidae
Source: RefSeq, a predicted model, not a curated record